GGGGUUACAUGAAGAUAGCAUUUGACAGCAUAAGGCUAACUUUGGCCCACCAACCUCUGUACGUCAAUUGCAAAAAGAGUAGUAGUGACCCUGAAACAUGAUUAACACGAGACAUAUUUUGCAAGUAAGAGAAAUUCAUCAAACUAAAGGUCAAUCAGAAAAGAAAGCACAUUGAAGAAUUAUGCAUAAUUGAAGAAGUAAAAGAAGUAAACAGCAAAAAUAACUAAUUCAAAGGAAAUGGGACAAUGAUUACAUGAUCCAUAAGUAGACAACUAGAAACUGAACUCAUCCCUCCUCAGGUUCUAGAUGGAGAGGAAGCCAACCACAUGGAUAUUACUAUUACGUAGAAAACUCAUAACUAGAUAAAAGACAAAGACUUUGGAAAUUAAAAGCAAAUGAAGAAAUCGCAUUUUUUUCUUCUCUCGACUAGUGAAUAAAAGGAUUUAACAUGCAUUGUGGUUCAAUCAAAUAUCUAAAACUCCAGGCGUAACAUAUAUAUACCUAUAGUAAGCACUUAAAAUGUGAAGGAAUUUCAAGAAAGUGAAACUGCUUACAACUUCUAUUUCAAGGCAACUUUUAAAAGAUAACCAUGUCCCCAUAUUCAAGUUGCAAAAGGCAAGGAGUGCUUUACAAAUCUUGGAGCUUUUACUGCAAAUAAUUCCAGCUGAAGAGGCAAUUUGAAAAAAGAAAGAUAGUGAAUUCCACCAGAAAAAGCAUGAUAGGACACACCUGACUACCAAGGAAAUUUAGCUUCUUGUCACGGUUUCACAUAUCACAUUGCAAAAGGCAAGGAAUGAUUUAUAACUCUGGAAAAUUUACACUGCAAAUAAAUCCAGCUGAAGAGGAAAUGUGAUAAAAGAUAGAAAGAAAUUGAACUCCACUUGAAAAAGUGUAAUAUGGCAUGCCUGACCGCCAUGGAAACCUAGCUUAUUGUAC
This 936-nucleotide long non-coding RNA is filed under the name Solanum tuberosum (potato). RNAcentral describes it as "long non-coding RNA (STUB_LNC002328)". Lineage: Eukaryota; Viridiplantae; Streptophyta; Magnoliopsida; Solanales; Solanaceae. The record is from RNAcentral.